CCCUGAAAGACUGGAGACAGAAGAGAAAGCAGUCCUACUAGAUUUGUGUCUACAAGCAGCACUAGAUCACAGAGAAACAUUCCAGAGAACUGUGAACACACUGCUGUCACUGUUCUCUGUGUAUCAAACUGAGAGAUAUGACAUCCUGCUGGAUCUGUACUCUCAUGUGAAGUACAAUAGGAAUCAAACAGCCAGGAGUGUCCUUCCAUCAUUGCAGCCACUUUACCAGUCAGCUCCUGCAGUCUGGUCCAUAGACCUCUCAGAGAGAAAGACCUCCCUCCUCCUAGAAGUGCUGAAACUCCAACCAGGGAAGAAACCAGUAGAGCUGAAGGGCUGGUCAGAUGAAGAGAGUGAAGUGAGGAGUUUCCUUCAGUGUCUGUCCUACAUCUCACAGCUGAGAUUUUCUCCACUGAAGGAUAACAUAAAUAGGAGAAAGAGAGACAAGACAUUCCUACUGAAUCUGUGUCUUCAAGCAGCUCUCCAUGAGAGAGGAACCAUACAAACAACUGUAGAGAAAGUGUUGUCGCUGUCUAAAGUAUAUCACAAUCAGAAAUGUGAUUUCCUGCUGGAUCUGAUCUCACAUGCGAAGGACUAUGAGACUCAAACAGGCAGGAUGGUCCUUCCAGCAUUACAGCCACUUUACCAGUCAGCUCCUGCAGUCUGGUCCAUAGACCUCUCAGAGAGAAAGGCCUCCCUCCUCCUAGAAGUGCUGAAACUCCAACCAGAGCAGAAACCAGUAGAGCUGAAGGGCUGGUCAGAUGAAGAGAGUGAAGUGAGGAGUUUCCUUCAGUGUCUGUCCUACAUCUCACAGCUGAGUUUUAUUCCUCCACAGGAUCAGAGAAGAUCCCCUGAAGAGAGGACAAGGAGAGAGAAGACAUUCCUACUGAAUCUGUGUCUUCAAGCAGUUCUCCAUGAGAGAGGAACCAUACAAACAACUGUAGAGAAAGUGGUGUCACUGUCUGAAGUAUAUCACAACCAGAAAUGUGAUUUCCUGCUGGAUCUGAUCUCACAUGUGAAGGACUAUGAGACUCAAACAGGCAGGAGUGUCCUUCCAGCAUUACAGCCAGUUUACCAGUCAGCUCCUGCAGUCUGGUCCAUAGACCUCUCAGAGAGAAAGGCCUCCCUCCUCCUAGAAGUGCUGAAACUCCAACCAGAGAAGAAACCAGUAGAGCUGAAGGGCUGGUCAGAUGAAGAGAGUGAAGUGAGGAGUUUCCUUCAGUGUCUGUCCCACAUCUCACAGCUGAGUUUCUAUACAGACUGGUCUGAUUCCUCAAAGCUGAUCAAGUUCCUGGUGGAUCUCCUGUCUCAAGCAGCAGAGUGGGAGGAGCAGACAGGAGAGAAGACACUGAAGCUGGUAUCAUCAGUGUGGACUUACAGCACCUUUCCUUAUCGCCAUGGAGACAAUUAUAAACAGAGUGAUUUCCUGUUGGAUCUGUACUCACAUGUGAAGGACUAUGAGACUCAAACAGGCAGGAGUGUCCUUCCAGCAUUACAGCCAGUUUACCAGUCAGCUCCUGCAGUCUGGUCCAUAGACCUCUCAGAGAGAAAGGCCUCCCUCCUCCUAGAAGUGCUGAAACUCCAACCAGAGAAGAAACCAGUAGAGCUGAAGGGCUGGUCAGAUGAAGAGAGUGAAGUGAGGAGUUUCCUUCAGUGUCUGUCCUACAUCUCACAGCUGAGUUUCCAUCCAUGGAGGUCUGAUCCCUCAAAGCAGAUCAAGUUCCUGGUGGAUCUCCUGUCUCAAGCAGCAGAGUGGGAGGAGCAGACAGGAGAGAAGACACUGAAGCUGGUAUCAUCAGUGUGUACUUACAGCACCUUUCCCUUCUGUGAAUGGGAUCAUGAUGUUGAGGUAUAUCAAUGUGAUUUCCUGUUGGAUCUGUACUCACAUGUGAAGGACUCUGAGACUCAAACAGGCAGGAGUGUCUUUCCAGCAUUACUGCCAGUUUACCAGUCAGCUCCUGCAGUCUGGUCCAUAGACCUCAGAAAGAGAAAGGCCUCCCUCCUCCUAGAAGUGCUGAAACUCCAACCAGGGAAGAAACCAGUAGAGCUGAAGGGCUGGUCAGAUGAAGAGAGUGAAGUGAGGAGUUUCCUUCAGUGUCUGUCCUACAUCUCACAGCUGAGAUUUCCUCUACUGAAGGAUAAUAUAGAGACAAGAAAGAGAGAGAAGACAUUCCUACUGAAUCUGUGUCUUCAAGCAGUCCUCCAUGAGAGAGGAACCAUACAAACAACUGUAGAGAAAGUGUUGUCGCUGUCUAAAGUAUAUCGCUUUCAGAAAUGUGAUUUCCUGCUGGAUCUGUACUCACAUGUGAAGGACUAUGAGACUCAAACAGGCAGGAGUUUCCUACCAGCAUUACAGCCAUCUCCUGCAGUCUGGUCCAUAGACCUCUCAGAGAGAAAGGCCUCCCUCCUCCUAGAAGUGCUGAAACUCCAACCAGAGAAGAAACCAGUUGAGCUGAAGGACUGGUCAGAUGAAGAGAGUGAAAUGAGGAGUUUCCUUCAGUGUCUGCCCUACAUCUCACAGCUUAGUUUCUGUCCACGGAGGUCUGAUCCCUCAGAGCAGAUCAAGUUCCUGGUGGAUCUCCUGUCUCAAGCAGCAGAGUGGGAGGAGCAGACAGGAGAGAAGACACUGAAGCUGGUAUCAUCAGUGUGUUCUUACAGCACCUUUCCUUUUCUCAAUGGAGACAAUUCUCAACAGAGUAAUUUCCUGCUGGAUCUGUACUCACAUGUGAAGGACUAUGAGACUCAAACAGGCAGGAGUGUCCUUCCAGCAUUACAGCCAGUUUACCAGUCAGCUCCUGCAGUCUGGUCCAUAGACCUCUCAGAGAGAAAGGCCUCCCUCCUCCUAAAAGUGCUGAAACUCCAACCAGAGAAGAAACCAGUAGAGCUGAGGGGCUGGUCAGAUGAAGAGAGUGAAGUGAGGAGUUUCCUUCAGUGUCUGUCCUAUAUCUCACAGCUGAGUUUUAUUCCUCCACAGGAUCAGAGAAGAUCCCCUGAAGAGAGGACAAGGAGAGAGAAGACAUUCCUACUGAAUCUGUGUCUUCAAGCAGUUCUCCAUGAGAGAGGAACCAUACAAACAACUGUAGAGAAAGUGUUGUCACUGUCUAAAGUAUAUCGCUUUCAGAAAUGUGAUUUCCUGCUGGAUCUGUACUCACAUGUGAAGGACUCUGAGACUCAAACAGGCAGGAGUUUCCUUCCAGCAUUACAGCCAGUUUACCAGUCAGCUCCUGCAGUCUGGUCCAUAGACCACAGAAAGAGAAAGGCCUCCCUUCUCCUAGAAGUGCUGAAACUCCAACCAGAGAAGAAACCAGUAGAGCUGAAGGGCUGGUCAGAUGAAGAGAGUGAAAUGAGGAGUUUCCUUCAGUGUCUGUCCUACAUCUCACAGCUGAGUUUCUAUACAGACUGGUCUGAUCCCUCAAAGCAGAUCAAGUUCCUGGUGGAUCUCCUGUCUCAAGCAGCAGAGUGGGAGGAGCAGACAGGAGAGAAGACACUGAAGCUGGUAUCAUCAGUGUGGACUUACAGCACCUUUCCUUUUCUCAGUGGAGACAAUUAUAAACAGAGUGAUUUCCUGCUGGAUCUGUACUCACAUGUGAAGGACUAUGAGACUCAAACAGGCAGGAGUGUCCUUCCAGCAUUACAGCCAGUUUACCAGUCAGCUCCUGCAGUCUGGUCCAUAGACCUCUCAGAGAGAAAGGCCUCCCUCCUCCUAGAAGUGCUGAAACUCCAACCAGAGAAGAAACCAUUAGAGCUGAAGGGCUGGUCAGAUGAAGAGAGUGAAGUGAGGAGUUUCCUUCAGUGUCUGUCCUACAUCUCACAGCUGAGUUUUACUCCUUCACAGGAUCAGAGAAGAUCCCCUGAAGAGAGGAUAAGGAGAGAGAAGACAUUCCUACUGAAUCUGUGUCUUCAAGCAGUCCUCCAUGAGAGAGGAACCAUACAAACAACUGUAGAGAAAGUGGUGUCACUGUCUGAAGUAUAUCACAAUCAGAAAUGUGAUUUCCUGCUGGAUCUGUACUCACAUGUGAAGGACUAUGAGACUCAAACAGGCAGGAGUUUCCUUCCAGCAUUACAGCCAGUUUACCAGUCAGCUCCUGCAGUCUGGUCCAUAGACCUCUCAGAGAGAAAGGCCUCCCUUCUCCUAGAAGUGCUGAAACUCCAACCAGAGAAGAAACCAGUAGAGCUGAAGGGCUGGUCAGAUGAAGAGAGUGAAAUGAGGAGUUUCCUUCAGUGUCUGUCCUACAUCUCACAGCUGAGUUUCUGUCCACGGAGGUCUGAUUCCUCAAAGCAGAUCAAGUUCCUGGUGGAUCUCCUGUCUCAAGCAGCAGAGUGGGAGGAGCAGACAGGAGAGAAGACACUGAAGCUGGUAUCAUCAGUGUGGACUUACAGCACCUUUCCCUUCUGUGAUGAUGAUGAUGAUGAUGAUGAUGAUGAUGGUGACGAUAAUAAGGAAUAUCAAUGUGAUUUCCUGCUGGAUCUGUACUCACAUGUGAAGGACUCUGAGACUCAAACAGGCAGGAGUUUCCUACCAGCAUUACAGCCAGUUUACCAGUCAGCUCCUGCAGUCUGGUCCAUAGACCUCUCAGAGAGAAAGGCCUCCCUCCUCCUAGAAGUGCUGAAACUCCAACCAGACAAAAAACCAGUAGAGCUGAAGGACUGGUCAGAUGAAGAGAGUGAAGUGAGGAGUUUCCUUCAGUGUCUGCCCUACAUCUCACAGCUGAGGUGAGUCUGAACAUGUGGUGGUUAGUGAUCAUGUGAUGCUAGUGGCUAUUAUCUUGUAGAAACAUUUGACAUAUUAAACUUCAAGUGUUGGUAAACCUUGUAGCAGUAUUGUUAGAGAGGGGUAAAGGUAGAGAUUUGUUGGGACGUCAGACAGGUAUUAACCCUGCAGAAAGGAAAAGAGUAGGAUAGAGAGAGACCCACUACCAGACACACACACAUCAGCAGAAGAGACUGUCUAGAGUGUAGCCUGUUAGCCAGAUAGCCAGUGGAGAGAAAAGAUAAGACUCAUCAUAUAAAACACCCAUCACAGCACAGGGGGAACCCCAC
This is a long non-coding RNA of Oncorhynchus tshawytscha (Chinook salmon), 5037 nucleotides long. NCBI's taxonomy places the organism in Eukaryota, Metazoa, Chordata, Actinopteri, Salmoniformes, Salmonidae. The record is from Ensembl.